GACGAACGCUGGCGGCGUGCUUAACACAUGCAAGUCGAACGGAAAGGCCCUGCUUUUGUGGGUUCUCCUUUUGCGAACCGUUUAUUAACCCCUUAGUUACCUUCCCUUUUCUUUUGGAUUACUUCUUGAAACUUGGGCUUAUACCCGAUUGGAUCUUCUUCUUCUUUGUGGGGGUUUGGAAGUUUCGGCGGUUGGGGAUGGACGCGCGGCUUAUCAGCUUGUUGGUUGGGUUGUGGCUUACCAAGGCUUUGAAGGGUAGCCGGCCUGAGAGGGUGACCGGCGACAAUGGGACUGAGAUACGGACCAGACUCCUACGGGAGGCAGCAGUGGGGAAUAUUGCACAAUGGGCGGAAGCGUGAUGCAGCAACGCCGCGUGCGGGAUGACGGCCUUCGGGUUGUAAACCGCUUUCGCCUGUGACGAAGCGUGAGUGACGGUAAUGGGUAAAGAAGCACCGGCUAACUACGUG
This 467-nucleotide ribosomal RNA is filed under the name uncultured bacterium. RNAcentral describes it as "partial 16S ribosomal RNA". It matches the Rfam family "Bacterial small subunit ribosomal RNA", at positions 28 to 507 of the family's 1533-position model. The record is from RNAcentral.